This 360-nucleotide unclassified non-coding RNA is filed under the name Hevea brasiliensis (rubber tree). The record is from RNAcentral. Lineage: Eukaryota; Viridiplantae; Streptophyta; Magnoliopsida; Malpighiales; Euphorbiaceae.
GUUGGCCGAUUUGGCCAAUAGGUCAUCAGCUCACUGAACAAUUAUGAACGGACCUCAAGAACCUUCCUCUUCAAACACAUCAAAACAAAAUCAGCGUAUCAAAAUAAAAUUAUCAUGCGAAGCGAUAACUAAGCAGUACGAAGAAGAAAGCUCUUCACUUUAAGCUACGAUUGCUAGAAACCUACCCAAAAGAUCUAUAUAAAGCCCACCUAACACUGAAGAGCGCUAACCCACUGUCAAGAAAGGAGGGAAGGCAAAGGAGACGCUUGGACAACGAAGCUCCCAAACAAAACCCUCAAAAACAUGGGAAAAGCUCUCUGUACAAGGGUAGAGAGAGGAAAAGCAACGGACACUUUUUUA